This 2678-nucleotide long non-coding RNA is filed under the name Citrus sinensis (sweet orange). RNAcentral describes it as "long non-coding RNA (CSIN_LNC003082)". Lineage: Eukaryota; Viridiplantae; Streptophyta; Magnoliopsida; Sapindales; Rutaceae. The record is from RNAcentral.
UUAAAAUAAAUUUACUUCCAUUCACAAAAUACAAAAAAUUGAGGAACCAAAUUAUAAACCCUAGACUUCAUCUUCAUCUCUUAGAUUUUGCCGUUCACACACCAAUUACAUCGGCAUGAUGUCCCGAUCUCCGGCGAACCCUCCGUUUCCGGCAUCUCAAACAAUUUCUUUGAACAGCUACCUGCCAACAACCAUUAACAACGGCAACCUUUUCAUCUCGCGCCACAGACCUUCCUUACGGCGACUUGAAUAGUUCUGAUUUAGCAGCUACCAGGUCUCAUUGCUAUUAUUAUUCUUCGAUUAUUGUUUUAUCAAAUGUUUUACAGUAAUUGUUUAAUUUAAUUUGGUAUUAGUUAUUGUUGUCUAGAAAAUUUAUGAUAUGAUCUGCUUGUGUAUUCUCUAAUGUGCUGCACUGCUGCUUGUGUGAACAUGAGAUUUUUAAAAGAAGCAAUCAGUUUCAACUGAGUGACAAUUUUGUGAACUGAUUGCUGAAUUCUGAUUAUGAUUUUUAAAUUUUUGCAUGUAAAUAUGAGGAAAGCUGCCUCUAAUGUUGCAUUUACUUAUCUACAUGAAUAAAAUAGGUCACGAUCUUCUUUCCAGUUUAGAAUUUUAGUUUGUUGAUUGAGGAGUUGAAGAGAAUUGCUGCAUUAAAUGAGGCUCAAUGUAUCUAAUUAAUUAAAAAUUGUUACAGGCUUUGUUUGUGCUUAAUGUAAGCAAAUAUUACUUUACAUGCUAAGGCAAUCCAUCCAAACUUCGUGUGUAAACUUGUAUUUUUCUAAAGAAAUGUUAAGAGAGACAGCUUAAUUUAAUAUAUAAAAUUGGCUUAAGAGAAAAGAUUUUGUAAUUUUUUUGCUUGAGAUUUGUAAUUGAUAUGCGGUUCUCACGAUGUCAAACAAUAAUAGCUUUGUAAGUACACAUUGCACAACCAGUAGCCACUUAAAUUAUUUGCUGACCCCAUAUCUACAAAUUAUUUGCUUUAUGUUCUCAACUCAGUUUAAUUUCACAGUAAUAUCUUGCGAUUUGGUCUAAGAUUGAAGCCCCAUCACCAAUCUUACUAGCAAGUUUUCUUCUUCUUUACAUUUCUGUCGUUUUGGGUUAUUGUAAUUAGGGUGAUAGUUUGGUUGGAAGAGAUGUGAGAAAAUGAGAGGAGAGGAAAGUGGAGGAAAAGAGAGAAAAGGAGAGUAGAGGACAGUGAAACACUUUUCUAAUGUUUUAUUAUAGAGUUAUACAAAGAAAGGAAAUUUUGAAUUUUUUAUUUAGACAAUUUUAGCCUUCCAAUAUUUAUCAUGAAUAUAAUUCAAAAAAUUGAACAGUAAUUUUAUUUAAUAUAUUUACAUAAAUAACUAAUAAAAAUUAUUUUAAAUAACAAAUUUAUAUUUAUAAUUAAAUUUUUUAAAAAUUGAUAUUUUUUCAAAGCUAUGGAAGUUAAAAGAGUUACUAGAAUAGUUUUAACCGGAUUUGAACAACAUAAAUCGAGUUUUUGACCUCAAUGACAACAUAGUGAUCUUGUUUGUUGGAUGGUAAGUUCAAUGGUACUGGCGGUGACAUUAGAUGCGCUAGUGGUAGUGGUGCCGAUGGCAGUCCACAACAGUCCAGCCAUUGUUAGUUUAUGUUUCUAUAUUUUCACAUUAAAUGAAUAAUAAAUUUAUUUAUUUAGUUAAGUUUUUUGAAUCAUUACUUAAAUCUAAUUAAUAUUUAUGAAAUUAUUUAUAAUAUUGAAUUGAUGAAUAAAAUUAUGAAUAAUAAUUAUUUGAUGGCAUUAAAUAAGUUAAACAGUUGAAGGGGUAAUUUUAGAAGUUUUAGUUUCGAACAGAAGAGGAAUUUGAAUUCUUCACACAGUAUGGAAUUCAAAUUCUAUAUUAUGGAAAUGAAAAAUAAUUUUAAAUUACUUUUCUCUUCUCUAUCUCUCCUUCUAACCAAAAGCCACCUAGAAGUUUAGAGGUUUAGAAGUUUAGUGGACAAUUGAUCCACUAUCUUUUUUUAUCUUUGUCAUUAAUAUAUUUUUGAGUUUUUUACAAGAAAAAAAAAAGAAGUUUGUGAUUAUACUGCUCACAGUCUUAAUCCACAGGGAUAAUAUAUGUAAUCAACCUUAUUAUUGGCGUUGUAGCUCUUUUCUAGGUUUGGUGCUAUUUUUUGACUUCUGCUAAAUGAUUGCAAGUAGCAGUGUUUGUACAAGUUCUUUUUUUCGUGGUAUUUACAGUUCCCUAGGAAUAUUUAAAAUCUAAAAAAUUUCGUUUACUAAAAGUCAUCAUUUAUUCGCAGGUUUUUUUUUUUUUUUCAUGUCUGAUAUUUAAUUACCCGAAAAAGCAUACAAUAAAAUGGAGCAUAUGUGACGCUGUUUUAUCAUUUUUGCAUUGAUUAAACUUUAAGACUGAUAAUUGAUAAAAUGUGUUUAUAAGAUUAAUUAUCUUCAAGAAUGCCACCAAACUUUCUAAAUAUGUAUGUGCUGCCCUUUCUAUUAAUCAAGUGUAGGCCAAUGGCAAUUUUCAAAUUUGAAUAAAGAGAUUGGUUUUGUUCAAUAAACAAUAUAUUUUCAACGAUGUCACUAGGAUCAAUGCUACUGGCAAUUGUUUUCAUUUAAAUUUGAUUACUUUUGUAGACUUACUUUCUAGAAAGACUUUCUCAUCCUAAUUGUUUUUUUGUGGUUUGCCUUUGAUGUGUAGGUAAUUUAUCUUCUU